AGAAUCAACGCUGGCGGCGUGCCUAACACAUGCAAGUCGCACGAGAAAGGGGCUUCGGCUCUGAGUAAAGUGGCGCACGGGUGAGUAACACGUGAAUAAUCUACCUCCGAGUGGGGAAUAACUGAGAGAAAUCUUAGCUAAUACCGCAUAACACUUACGAGUCAAAGCAGCAAUGCGCUUGGAGAGGAGUUCGCGGCCGAUUAGUUAGUUGGCGGGGUAAUGGCCCACCAAGACGAUGAUCGGUAUCCGGCCUGAGAGGGCGCACGGACACACUGGAACUGAAACACGGUCCAGACUCCUACGGGAGGCAGCAGUGGGGGAAUUUUGCGCAAUGGGGGAAACCCUGACGCAGCAACGCCGCGUGGAGGAUGAAAUAUCUUGGUAUGUAAACUCCUUUCGAUGGGGAAGAUAAUGACGGUACCCAUAGAAGAAGCCCGGCUAACUUCGCGCCAGCAGCCGC
This 460-nucleotide ribosomal RNA is filed under the name uncultured bacterium. RNAcentral's name for it is "SSU rRNA". It matches the Rfam family "Bacterial small subunit ribosomal RNA", at positions 26 to 518 of the family's 1533-position model. The record is from RNAcentral.